This 253-nucleotide ribosomal RNA is filed under the name uncultured bacterium. RNAcentral's name for it is "partial 16S ribosomal RNA". It matches the Rfam family "Bacterial small subunit ribosomal RNA", at positions 524 to 776 of the family's 1533-position model. The record is from RNAcentral.
UACGGGGGGGGUAAGCGUUGUUCGGAAUUACUGGGCGUAAAGGGCUCGUAGGCGGCCAACUAAGUCAGACGUGAAAUCCCUCAGCUUAACUGGGGAACUGCGUCUGAUACUGGAUGGCUUGGAUCCGGGAGAGGGAUGCGGAAUUCCAGGUGUAGCGGUGAAAUGCGUAGAUAUCGGGAGGAACACCAGCGGCGAAGGCGGGCAUCUGGGCUAACACUGACGCUGAGGCGCGAAAGCUAGGGGAGCAAACAGG